RNAcentral lists this ribosomal RNA (493 nucleotides) under uncultured bacterium. Its description in RNAcentral is "partial 16S ribosomal RNA". It matches the Rfam family "Bacterial small subunit ribosomal RNA", at positions 30 to 523 of the family's 1533-position model. The record is from RNAcentral.
AUUGAACGCUGGCGGCAUGCCUUACACAUGCAAGUCGAACGGUAACAGGUUAAGCUGACGAGUGGCGAACGGGUGAGUAAUACAUCGGAACGUGCCCAGACGUGGGGGAUAGCUCGGCGAAAGCCGGAUUAAUACCGCAUAAGCUCUGAGGAGGAAAGCGGGGGACCGUAAGGCCUCGCGCGUUUGGAGCGGCCGAUGGCAGAUUAGGUAGUUGGUGGGGUAAAGGCUUACCAAGCCUACGAUCUGUAGCUGGUCUGAGAGGACGACCAGCCGCACUGGGACGGAGCCACGUCCCAGACACCUACGGGAGGCAGCAGUGGGAAAUUUUGGACAAUGGGCGCAAGCCUGAUCCAGCAAUGACGCGUGCAGGAUGAAGGCUUUCGGGUUGUAAACUGCUUUUGUACGGAAGGAAAAGGCGCCUACUAAUACUGGGUGUUGAUGACGGUACCGUAAGAAUAAGCACCGGCUAACUACGUGCCAGCAGCCGCCGUAA